Molecule: ribosomal RNA, 253 nt
Filed under: uncultured bacterium
Lineage: Bacteria
Description: partial 16S ribosomal RNA
Rfam family: Bacterial small subunit ribosomal RNA
Source: RNAcentral
UACAGAGGUCCCGAGCGUUGUUCGGAUUCAUUGGGCGUAAAGGGUGCGUAGGCGGCGGGGGAAGUCUGAUGUGAAAUCCCGGGGCUCAACCCUGGAACUGCAUUGGAUACUCCCUUGCUAGAGUACUGGAGAGGAAACUGGAAUUUACGGUGUAGCAGUGAAAUGCGUAGAGAUCGUAAGGAAGACCAGUGGCGAAGGCGAGUUUCUGGACAGUUACUGACGCUGAGGCACGAAGGCCAGGGGAGCAAACGGG